UACGAAGGGGGCUAGCGUUGCUCGGAAUUACUGGGCGUAAAGCGCACGUAGGCGGCUUUGCAAGUUAGAGGUGAAAGCCCGGGGCUCAACCCCGGAAUUGCCUUUAAAACUGCAUCGCUAGAAUUGUGGAGAGGUAAGUGGAAUUCCGAGUGUAGAGGUGAAAUUCGUAGAUAUUCGGAAGAACACCAGUGGCGAAGGCGACUUACUGGACACAUAUUGACGCUGAGGUGCGAAAGCGUGGGGAGCAAACAGG
Molecule: ribosomal RNA, 253 nt
Filed under: uncultured bacterium
Lineage: Bacteria
Description: partial 16S ribosomal RNA
Rfam family: Bacterial small subunit ribosomal RNA
Source: RNAcentral